UAAUUAAUUUAUUAAAAUAUCUACUUUGGAUGUAGAAAAACCAUAAAUAAAUUUAA
RNAcentral lists this transfer RNA (56 nucleotides) under Cheiracanthium brevispinum. RNAcentral describes it as "tRNA-Pro". The record is from RNAcentral. Lineage: Eukaryota; Metazoa; Arthropoda; Arachnida; Araneae; Cheiracanthiidae.